RNAcentral lists this long non-coding RNA (909 nucleotides) under Gadus morhua (Atlantic cod). Its description in RNAcentral is "lncRNA (ENSGMOG00000025858.1)". Lineage: Eukaryota; Metazoa; Chordata; Actinopteri; Gadiformes; Gadidae. The record is from RNAcentral.
CCCGCCCCUACACCUGUCUCCGCCCCUACCCCAAGCCCCGCCCCUACACCUGUCUCCGCCCCUACCCCAAGCCCCGCCCCAACACCUGCCCCUACACCAAGCCCCGCCCCUACACCUGUCUCCGCACCAACCCCUGACCCCCUCCCUAAACCCGACCCCACCCCUACACCUGGCCCCGCCCCUAAACCCGACCCCGCCCCUACACCAUGCCCCGCCCCUGCACCUGGCCCCGCCCCUACAUCAUCCCAGACUUCAGAGCAAGAGAAACGGCCAACGACCCCAGGAGGAUCAAGGAAAGAGGUCAAAUGGGAGGACCAGCAGGCGAAAACAGCCCAAGUUGGAGUCCUUCCGGCUAAGGCAUCAGAGGGCGACGUAUCGUCUGGAGCCACCAGGGGCAGCGAGGCGUCCGACACCAUCAGCAGCUCUGAGGCCCCUCAGGGCCAAUCGGAAGACAGCGCGGGGGCGGGGUCAGACGGGGAGAGCAGACCGUCCCUAGAGAAGGGGGAGUCACUGGAGGGGGAGGACAUGGAGGAGGAGCCAGAGAAGCCCAAGGCCCCGCCCCCCAAGGCGCCCGCCGCGGCGGGGGAGAUCUGCUCUCUGGGGAGGAGGGACGACGAUGAUGACGAUGAGAAGAAGAGGAGGUCGAGCCUGGGCGCCCGGAUGAUGGGGAUGGUCGGCCUGGGGAAGAAGAGCUCCUCCCAGCCCAACCCAGAGGGUGAGUGCACCGCUUCAGACCGGUCCAAACCCGUUCAGACUGGUCCAAACCCGUUCAGACCGGUCAAAACCAUUUCAGACUGGUCCAAACCCGUUCAGACCAGUCCAAACCCUUUCAGACAAGGACAAAUAAAACCAGAUACAUAUGGUUUAAACCAGUUGGUCUGGAGAGGAAAAGAACACCUCACAGUGUAA